This is a non-coding RNA of Pelobates cultripes (western spadefoot toad), 231 nucleotides long. The record is from the annotation of a GenBank genome assembly. Lineage: Eukaryota; Metazoa; Chordata; Amphibia; Anura; Pelobatidae.
CCCUUGUCCCCCUCCUAUAUAUUCUAUCACUAGAGCCACACGCUUAAAAUUUGCACAAACUCUGAUAUCAAGGGGAUACAAAUUAAUAACCAGGAACACAAACUAGCGCUGUUUGCUGACGAUGUUUUGAUAUCAAUAGCAGACCCAGAGAGUUCACUACCACACCUUAUGCAUACCCUUAAGGAAUUUGGCCUAGUGUCUCACUAUAAACUCAACCAGGAUAAAACCCAG